GACACAGGGAGGUAGUGACAAGAAAUAACAAUACGGGGCUUUAAGUCUUGUAAUUGGAAUGAUGGGAAUUUAAACCUCUUCCAGAGUAUCAAUUGGAGGGCAAGUCUGGUGCCAGCAGCCGCGGUAAUUCCAGCUCCAAUAGCGUAUAUUAAACUUGUUGCAGUUAAAAAGCUCGUAGUUGAAUUUCUGCUGUAUCGUUAUCUUCUGCUUGACAGUUUGGUAUCGUUAUGGCUUGUUGGGUCACUUUGUGUCCCGGCGUUUACUUUGAGAAAAUUAGAGUGCUUCAAGCAGGCUUUUGCCUUGAAUACUUUAGCAUGGAAUAAUGGAGUAGGACUUUGGUUCUAUUUUGUUGGUUUUAGGAGCCAGAGUAAUGGUUAAUAGGAACAGUUGGGGGCAUUCGUAUUUGACUGUCAGAGGUGAAAUUCUUAG
This 429-nucleotide ribosomal RNA is filed under the name Theileria equi. RNAcentral describes it as "SSU rRNA". It matches the Rfam family "Eukaryotic small subunit ribosomal RNA", at positions 453 to 923 of the family's 1831-position model. The record is from RNAcentral. Lineage: Eukaryota; Apicomplexa; Aconoidasida; Piroplasmida; Theileriidae.